Molecule: non-coding RNA, 979 nt
Organism: Pelodiscus sinensis (Chinese soft-shelled turtle)
Lineage: Eukaryota; Metazoa; Chordata; Testudines; Trionychidae
Source: RefSeq, a predicted model, not a curated record
GCAUCUUCCACCGCUGUACAUUUUCUGGCUCUGCCUUGCACCAUGGAGAUGGAGUGAGACAGGGAGUAAUGGGACAGAUUUAAAUCCAAGCACACAUGCUUCAUGUGGACGCGUACUGCUUAUUGAAUAGAACAGUCAUCCAGUCAAAAUCAGGGGCCCACAGUGUCAGAUGCGUCCAAACACCUAAAAAGACCAUGCUCCCUGAUUUACCGAGCCUUCCACCUUCCAUUCCUUAAGAGGCAAAUGCCAGCCACCAGGAGAAGACACAGAAAGAAAAGCAGUCGGUUCAGUACUUUAACCACAAGACCAUUCUUCUUCUAUGUGGCAAUCUCUGCACUUCAAACAAGGGAAAAGAAGAGGGCUCAGAUGAAAAUCCCUAGCAGUUGCUAAAAAUGCAUUGGAUUGUUAAAGGAAAUGGGAAAUAAGCCAGUCUGUGACAAAAGGGAGAUUCCCCCUUUUAAACAAAACUGUUAUCUCACUCAAACACACAUUAUUUUACAAAAGGUAUUGCUACCAGUUAGUGGAAAACCAGCAAGUGUGUACAGGUCAAAAGAAUCUUGCAGUAAUGAGUAUGGUACAAGGUUGGUUUGGUUACAUCAAUGCCUGGAAAAACUGCCCUGCCAUUUCAAAACAUACUUAGAAUAUGUGCUGUGACUUCCCAGGGUUAACUUUCUUGACUAAUAAACACACAAAACUAGGUUCUAAAAUUAUAGUCCAGGAGACUGAACUUCUCUAGUUACCUACAGCAUAAGAUCAGCACAAGCCGCACCUCAACGUGGUCCUUAACCCUGACCAGGAGGUAUUGCCCUGAUAGAUGAAAGGUUAAUUUAGCAUCCAUCGCCUCUUCAGUCUUUGGCUUCCUAACACUGGUCACAGCCAGAGAUCACACCUUGUCACAGCAACAGGCGGAACCAAACCUGGGACGUCUGGAGCUUAGUGCGUGAAUGAGCUAAAAGCCAGCUGGCUCUCUGCUAAGAUU